RNAcentral lists this ribosomal RNA (372 nucleotides) under uncultured organism. RNAcentral's name for it is "bacterial SSU rRNA". It matches the Rfam family "Bacterial small subunit ribosomal RNA", at positions 526 to 896 of the family's 1533-position model. The record is from RNAcentral.
CAGAGACUGCAAGCGUUAUUCGGAUUCACUGGGCGUAAAGGGUGCGCAGGCGGUCGGGUGUGUCAGAUGUGAAAUCCCGAGGCUCAACCUCGGAACUGCGUCUGAAACUACUCGACUAGAGUACUGGAGAGGGUAACGGAAUUCACGGUGUAGCAGUGAAAUGCGUAGAUAUCGUGAGGAACACCAGAGGCGAAGGCGGUUACCUGGACAGUUACUGACGCUCAGGCACGAAAGCAUGGGGAGCAAAAGGGAUUAGAUACCCCUGUAGUCCAUGCCCUAAACGGUGCACACUAGGUCUUAGCGGAUUCGACCCCACUAGGGCCCAAGCUAACGCGUUAAGUGUGCCGCCUGAGGACUGCGGUCGCAAGACUA